Non-coding RNA from Styela clava, 4609 nucleotides. The record is from RefSeq and is a predicted model, not a curated record. NCBI's taxonomy places the organism in Eukaryota, Metazoa, Chordata, Ascidiacea, Stolidobranchia, Styelidae.
CGAGGCGUUCUUCAAACCUGUUGGGGUUUAACUUGAACAAAACCAUAUAAUUCUAAAGCAAAUUAGUAACUUUACCAGCAGCUGGAGCGUUGGAAAAGCCUUGCUUGUGAUGCCUACGGCCUACGAUGCUAAUGUUGAACCGAAAUGCUAUAAAAAGGAGGUAUCUUGUUGAUGACGGGUACGUGACUUAAUUAUGUGGAAAAAUGAGAAGACUCACUGGCGUAAGAAUUCAUUUAUUUAUUUGUGAAUUACCCGGAGUUCAUGUAGGUGUUGUUCCUGUCAUUUCGAGCUGUUUUGGGAACCAACGUUAAAUGUUGAUCAAUAUACAAACAGGCUGAACAUAUGGAGGACACCUAUGUGCAACGUUCAAGGUUUGGUUGGAACGGAACCGCAUUAUUCUACAUCCAUGAGUAACUUUACUGGCAGCUGGGGCGUUUGAAAAGCUCGUUUGUGAUGCCCACGAUACUAAAGUUGAACGGAAAUGCCAUAAGUGGAAGUAUCGUGAUGACGGAUGCGCGGUUUACUAUGUGGAAGGUUAAGAAGACUCACUGGCGUAAGAAUUCAUUUAUGUAUUUGUGAAUAACUUUGUUUAUUAGCUUUGUCAUUUCGUGCUGUUUUAUGGAAUCAACGUAAAAUGUUGAAACAAUAUGAAAACUAGCUCAACAUACGCGGGACAACUCUUGCACAACGUAAGUUUACAAUAAUCUUAACUUUAUAAUUAGGAUCAUACGCCUGUUUAUGGCCGGGGUUUACGUUUUUCUUGCAAUGUUUUCAAUGUCACUUUGAGUUUAAUCAUUUUUUUUUCAGGUUUUUGUCUUUCAGGUUGGGGGGCUGACCCUUGUUUUUCUGACUAUUGUCUUUUCGUGUUUCAUGACCAUACUGUUUUUUUUCGACCGUUGUCUUUCAGGUUUGUUGACCCCAAUCUGGUUUUUCUUACGAUUGGUUUCCAGCCUUGUUGACCAUCCUGAUUUUUGUGACCAUUGUCUUUUAAGUUAAAUUGUUUGUCUGGAUGCGUUGACCAUUAUGUUUUUUCCAUCCAUUGUCUUUCAUGUCGCGUUGACCAUUUUUUUAUUUUCUCUUGUGAUUUUUCUGACCAUUGUCGUUCAGGUUUGUUGAUCAUUUCGGUUUUAUCGACCCUUGUAUUCCCGGUUUUUACCAUUAUCUUUCUAUUUUUUUCAACCCUUUUCAGGUUUUUUAACCAUUCUGGUUUCAUGUUUUUCAGGUUCGUUCAUCAUUCUUGUUUUCUAUCCCUUGUAUUUCAGGGUUGUUUUUAGCCAUUUUUUCAGGUUGAGUUUACCAUUUUUUUCAAACGUUUUGUUUGCUAUUCGGAUUUUUUUUGAUCAUUGCUUUUAAGGUUUCGUUGACCAUUCUGUCUUUGGCCGUUGUCUCGUGUUGCGUUGGUCACUUUUUCUGGCCAGUGUCUUUCGUGUUGCGUUGUGUUGACAUUUUUUUUUUUUUGUGACCAUUGUAUUUCAGGUUGCGAUGAACAUUUGACCAUUAUCUUUCGUGUUUAUUCUGUUUUUAUAAUCAUUGAUUUUUUUUUUUUCUUCAGGUUUUUACCUAACAGUUAUUUUAUUAAACAUUUCAUUUUUUUCAGUAAAGUGUCAUCAAAUUUGCUGCGUUCAUAGCUAGCGCUUCUAUCUGAAAUAAUUUUUUUUUAAGUAUUUUAAUCUAGAUAGAAGUCAACACACUUCCUUCUUUAAGCGGCAUCUGAUUAACUAGACGCAUUGUGGAUGAUGAGACCUUGAUAAUAUUGAUGGUCGGUGAAAUAUUUGCAGAAUAAAGUGGUUUCGUUUCAAGAAAAGACUUUUCCGGAGAAGGGUGAUCAACUCGGUAACAUGGAGAGGUGUAAUAUUAUAAUUUUAUUUAAUUAAAAUAUGUAUUUUAGGUUUGUUGGCUAUUCUAAUUUUUUCCGACAAUUGUCUUUCAUGUUUACCAUUCUGCUUUUACAGCCAUUGUUUUUCAGGUUUUUACCAAACAUUUAUUUUUUCCAACAUUCAUAAAGGGUCGUUAAUUUUGACAAUAUAGCUAGCAUUACUUUCCAUCUUUUGAAAUCAUUUUUCCAAACCUAUUUUAAUCUAGAUAAAAGUCAAUAAUACUUUAUUUUUUUACGGACACUUGGAUAACUGGACGUAUUAUGGCUGAUAAAACCGUGAUAAUAUUGAUAUCGAAGAAAUAUUUGCAAAACAGCGAUAAGACGAGAUCUAAUGAAUACUAUAGAACAGCUAAGAUGCCUAAGAUUCUAAAUUGUUUUCGUUUCAAGAAAAGACUUUUCCGCAGAAGAGUGAUCAACUCGGUGACAUGGAGAGACGGAGAUUUGGUCGAGUGACAUCAAUCAUUGUGAAAUGUAUAGUUGAUGAUUGAUGAAAUAUUCGCAAAUUAGCAAUAAGACAAUGGAUGAUUACUUAUGAAACAGUGGAGAGUAAAACUUGGAUGCCUGGGAUUCUAAAGUGGUUUCGUUCAGAGAAAAGACUUAUUAGCAGAAGAGUAAAAUACGCGUUAAUAUAGAGAGGCGGAGGAUUCGGUCGAGUUACAUCUAUCAUCGUUGUGGGGAUGUACAUUUGAAAUAAACGUCAUUCAUAAAGUGGUCGCCUCUCUACGGACACACGAUGGCGAAGGAUUUGAUUGAGUGACAUCCAUCAUCCUUAUGGGAAUGUGAAGUUGAAAUAACGUUAUUCAUAAAGUGGCACACUUCUCUACGGACACACGAUGAGAGUAUGGAAGAACUACACAGCCAGUGUGUACCAAAUUGAGCAUCGUAAGAGCGUACGGUCGAAGUGUUAAUGAACUCACAGACUAACGCAAAGACGAAUGAUACCUGCAGUAAUUCAAAACGGACGAAGAGACAAUGGAAGAACUACCGUGCGGUCGAAGUGUUUAUGAACACCAAGAAGACUACAGCCUGUUUUUUAGGACUGAGGAAGAUUAUCUCAAAAGACACCGCAUGUCGCUUUCAAUCUUAACAUGGUUCAUUCAUUAUACAACAUUGAACGUCCCAAUAUCAGCUGAGAAAUGGAACUUUAUUAUCGUGGGUGCCACAUCACAUGUUCAUCGGUGUUCUCAUUUAAGGGUCAACAGUGUUCCCAUUGACAAAUCAACAGUGUUCCCCUUGACAAAUCAACAGUGUUCCCCUUGACGGAUCAACAGUGUUCCCCUUGACGGAUCGACAGUGUUCCCCUUGACGGAUCGACAGUGUUCCCCAAGUGACGGAUCGACAGUGUUCCCCAAGUGACGGAUCGACAGUGUUCCCCAAGUGACGGAUCGACAGCGUUCCCCAAGUGACGGAUCGACAGCGUUCCCUUUGAUGAAAUACGUGGACAUAUUAUUGUGCUAUAAUGAUUAUAAUGCAAUACAGACGGAUACGGACAAUACGGACCAGUCGUUGAAAUCCAAUCUGUGAGAGGGCACUGGACUCGCUAUGUUUGCAUUGCGGGUUCCUGCCCACUGACUUAAAUGUUGUGAAACAAUUUGGCUUGGCAAUGCCGAACCGGGAACGUUAGGUCCUUACAAAAACAUAGCAGCUCUCAUACCAGGGGCCGCUUCCGCAGUGCCUUGUUUUAAGUUAAAGACAUAUAGUAAACGCUGUAUGGAAAAACAACCUCGUGCAUUUGCAUACCACAGUAACAAACUAGCUAGACAAUGUCCAACCGGGCUGAUCAAGGUCCUUUAUACUCUAUUUUGUAGGGGCUACGGGUGAUUUCGUUCAAUUUUUACUAUGUUUUCAAAUCGGUUUAUUACAAACGCUCAUAUAUUCAUUAUUGUAUGGCCGUGUUUAUUGUUGGUGAAAUAAUUGCUUUUCUCUUUUAUAUAUUCGAGCAAUUGCUUUAUAUUUUCCCUCUUUUUGUCAAAUGGGUUUUUUUCGUGUCAAACUCAAAUUAUCUGAUUCAGGGAACAAUUAAGCCAUAACCAUUGAGUGUGUUUUCAGCUACUUAUAAAUAUUAUUUUGCUUUCAUUGUUCUAUAAAUUUAUUGCUGUGGGGUUGGGGUGGGCUCUUUACACAGAGCUGAAUGUUUUCAAAUGAAGGAUUCAUUAUUCUUUAUGUGUGAUGUUCAGCUUUGCGUAUGAUUUACACAGCAUUUUCCCAUUUUUUUCUGUGGAUAAAUGUUUUAACAAAUUGUGUGUAUAUAUGCGAUGUUGGACAUCCUUACAAGCGAACAGGGCCAGACUUAAACCAACGCGAGCCAGAUAAGUGAAUUCCUGACACCCCAAUAAGGGGUAAACACCCCUCUCCGAUAGUUACGAACACUGUUGAAUCAUGUUACUCGAUGGCCGUGUUUUUCGUUAUUGAAAUAUUUUUUUUUUUGUAUAUUUAAGCAAUUGUAAUAUAUUUUCCCCUUUUUCAAAUUUUCCAGCUGAUGGAUCCUUCGGGUUAAACCCAAAUUAUUUGACGAUUCUCUUAGUGUUAAACUCAAAUUAUUUGAUUCUGGGAAAAGCCACGGCUUCCUUGUAAAAGUAUUUUGUAUACCUUGUUUUAUAAUUUUUGCAUUUUUUUUUACCAAUGAAAUUGCUGUUGGGUUGGGGUGGGCUCUUUACGCAGAACUGAAUGUUGUUAGCCUAUUUCAGCUCUGCGUAUGGUUUACAGCAUUUUCAUAUUUUUUUAUCUGUGAAC